This 73-nucleotide transfer RNA is filed under the name Pseudomonadota bacterium. RNAcentral's name for it is "tRNA-Glu". It matches the Rfam family "tRNA". From Rfam's summary of the family: Transfer RNA (tRNA) molecules are approximately 80 nucleotides in length. Lineage: Bacteria; Pseudomonadati; Pseudomonadota. The record is from RNAcentral. RNAcentral also lists the same sequence under 7 other names.
GCCCCCAUCGUCUAGUGGACUAGGACGCGGCCCUUUCAAGGCCACGACCGGGGUUCGAAUCCCCGUGGGGGCA